UGAGUUUAAUGGGAUUAAGCCGGACUCGUGCCGACUAAAUCCUUCGUUAGCUGGGCUUAGCGAGAGCCCCCGGAAAUGAGGGGAUUGCUAGUCCCGUUUCCCCGCUUCCCCUCGCUUCGCCUCGCCCUAAACAUGAGAACUUGCCCUCCCGCUAUGUCUCUCCCCACCUCCCUCUCGUCUGUCCAAAAGAUCUCCAAGUCUGCAAGAAUUUCCAGGUCUGCAAGAACCCACAAGUCUGCACCUGGGUUUGACAGAAACGAUUCAAACGAAUCUAAAAUGUCCAAGUCUGCAAGACUUGAUUUGCAAGAAAAAUGGCUCUGGGUUGGGCACUCUGCGUUUUGUCUCGAAGGAUUACAACUACGGAGGAUUUCAAAGUAUUUGAUGGAAGGUCGAGAAGGAAUCUGUUGUUGUUAUUGAAGAGCUAUUCGGCUACAAAUCUUCAAAUAACUACUUGAGCAGAAAAUAAACAGAGGACUUAUGAAGGAGAUGAACUCUCAUAUAUCAGGAAAAUGAUUCUGUGAAUUGGGUUGGAUUUGUGAGUUGUCUGUGAAAUACCAAAUUGAAGGAUUUGAUUUUUUUGGGAUAUUAGAGCUUUUGAGCAAUUUGGAGUGGUUGAACAAAUUGAAUGAUUUCAAUAGUUCUGCUUCUUCUGGGAUAGCAAAUUGCAUGAUUUCAUUUAGUUCUGCUUUUUCUGGGAUAGCAAAUUGAAGAAUUUGGUUAAUUCUGCAGAAACUUUCAUGUUGGGGUUCACUUUCAUUGGAUGAUAAUAUUUUGUUACAAA
Malus domestica (apple) is the source of this 781-nucleotide long non-coding RNA. RefSeq lists it as uncharacterized. Lineage: Eukaryota; Viridiplantae; Streptophyta; Magnoliopsida; Rosales; Rosaceae. The record is from RefSeq and is a predicted model, not a curated record.